RNAcentral lists this ribosomal RNA (253 nucleotides) under uncultured bacterium. Its description in RNAcentral is "partial 16S ribosomal RNA". It matches the Rfam family "Bacterial small subunit ribosomal RNA", at positions 524 to 776 of the family's 1533-position model. The record is from RNAcentral.
UACGAGAGGCCCAAACGUUAUUCGGAAUUACUGGGCUUAAAGAGUUCGUAGGCGGCAUUGCAAGUAGGGUGUGAAAGCCCUCGGCUCAACCGAGGAAUUGCGCUCUAAACUGCAGUGCUUGAGGAAGCUAGAGGUGAGCAGAACAGAUGGUGGAGCGGUGAAAUGCGUUGAUAUCAUCUGGAAGUACCGGGGCGAAGGCGGCUCACUUGGGGCUUUCUGACGCUGAGGAACGAAAGCCAGGGUAGCGAACGGG